UACGUAGGGGGCGAGCGUUGUCCGGAUUUAUUGGGCGUAAAGCGCAUGCAGGCGGUCCUGUAAGUUUGGAGUGACAGUUUCCGGCUCAACCGGGAAAGUGCUUUGAAAACUGCGGGACUUGAGGGCUUCAGAGGGACACGGAAUUCCGGGUGGAGUGGUGAAAUGCGUAGAUAUCUGGAGGAACACCGGUGGCGAAGGCGGCAUCCUGGACCAAUUCUGACACUGAGGAGCGAAAGCCAGGGGAGCAAACGGG
Molecule: ribosomal RNA, 253 nt
Filed under: uncultured bacterium
Lineage: Bacteria
Description: partial 16S ribosomal RNA
Rfam family: Bacterial small subunit ribosomal RNA
Source: RNAcentral